GGCCAGGUAGCUCAGUGGUUAAAGUGCCUGGCAUAUACUGUAUUAAGGGGAGCUGGGUUCAAAUCCCAACAUAAUCA
Non-coding RNA from Russula emetica, 77 nucleotides. Lineage: Eukaryota; Fungi; Basidiomycota; Agaricomycetes; Russulales; Russulaceae. The record is from the annotation of a GenBank genome assembly.